Molecule: transfer RNA, 73 nt
Filed under: Actinomycetota bacterium
Lineage: Bacteria; Bacillati; Actinomycetota
Description: tRNA-Thr
Rfam family: tRNA
About the family: Transfer RNA (tRNA) molecules are approximately 80 nucleotides in length. Their secondary structure includes four short double-helical elements and three loops (D, anti-codon, and T loops). Further hydrogen bonds mediate the characteristic L-shaped molecular structure. tRNAs have two regions of fundamental functional importance: the anti-codon, which is responsible for specific mRNA codon recognition, and the 3' end, to which the tRNAs corresponding amino acid is attached (by aminoacyl-tRNA synthetases). tRNAs cope with the degeneracy of the genetic code in two manners: having more than one tRNA (with a specific anti-codon) for a particular amino acid; and 'wobble' base-pairing, i.e. permitting non-standard base-pairing at the 3rd anti-codon position.
Source: RNAcentral
GCCGACGUAGCUCAGAAGGUAGAGCAGCUCACUCGUAAUGAGCAGGUCAGCGGUUCGAGUCCGCUCGUCGGCU